RNAcentral lists this ribosomal RNA (313 nucleotides) under Escherichia coli. RNAcentral describes it as "partial 16S ribosomal RNA". It matches the Rfam family "Bacterial small subunit ribosomal RNA", at positions 1 to 310 of the family's 1533-position model. The record is from RNAcentral. Lineage: Bacteria; Pseudomonadati; Pseudomonadota; Gammaproteobacteria; Enterobacterales; Enterobacteriaceae. RNAcentral also lists the same sequence under 1 other name.
AAAUUGAAGAGUUUGAUCAUGGCUCAGAUUGAACGCUGGCGGCAGGCCUAACACAUGCAAGUCGAACGGUAACAGGAAGCAGCUUGCUGCUUCGCUGACGAGUGGCGGACGGGUGAGUAAUGUCUGGGAAACUGCCUGAUGGAGGGGGAUAACUACUGGAAACGGUAGCUAAUACCGCAUAAUGUCGCAAGACCAAAGAGGGGGACCUUCGGGCCUCUUGCCAUCGGAUGUGCCCAGAUGGGAUUAGCUUGUUGGUGGGGUAACGGCUCACCAAGGCGACGAUCCCUAGCUGGUCUGAGAGGAUGACCAGCCA